AAAGGACAAGUAUGCAGUUCAAAAUUCAAAAUGUGGAUAAGUUGAGGUUCUAGGUCUUACCUUUGCAGAUUUUCAUAUUUUGCAUGAAUGAAUUCAAAGGUUAUAUGAUGGACAGCAGAGAAAGAAAAAAACAACUUUUCAAUUAUCCUGCUCCUGGAUAAAUGUAAAACAUCUUGUUUUUCGGUAAGUUUUAUGCUCUGUUUUGAUAGUGUUAGUGCAUUCAUCUUUCCAGUCUUUCCUCUAAAUUGUAAGUUUUUGGUGAGUGUUCACCAUGAAUUUCAGUAAGUAACUUGUGGAUUUACAUGUAUAUACUCAAAAUUUAGUACUAAUAUUAAUGGGAUUUUAGCAUGACAUCCUGCCAAAUGCUUGUUAAUCAUGUUUAUGUUCCAGAACAAACAAGUAUUUGGACUGUACGCAUACAGUCUGCCCAAUUUUAAGAAGUUGGUCAAGUUUAUUACAAACAAAUGUACAGUACAGAUCAACAUAACUGAAAUCUUUAAUAGAUUAAUACAAAAAGUUUAAUUGCAGUUAAAAUAAAAACACAGGUUUGGUUGAGCUGGUACCAGACAGUACAAGUAUACUUAAAUGGUCUGACUGUACACAUAUGGUGGGACUGUAAGUUCUGGACCAUAAAAGUAAGAUCCGAAUACUGAUAUGGUCUGGAACAUUUAUACAUGUCUUAAAAUUAAUAUCAAACACAUUGGUGUUUUUGAACUUGGUAAUAAGUUAUGUGAUAGAACUAUAAUGUUUUGGGAUAUCAAAAUCAAAAAUAUCCCAUUUUUACUUUUAAUAAAGAAGAAGAUUAUUGAUGUAUGUUUAAAUGUAUAUUUAAAAUGAGACAGCAAGCCAACAACACAAAAAAAAGGAUAAAACAUACAUAUUUUGUUUGUAUCAAUGUUAUAAUUUCCAAUAUGUUCAAGGUAUUUUUUCAUUGAAAUAAAACACAAAUUGAAAUCUGUCUGAACUUCAAAAGCUUAAAGAAAUAUUGUUUCUGUUGUCUGCAUUUUGUAUAAUAUAUUGCAAAUUCUUGUGAAUAAUGGAAUGUUAUUAUAGUUGUCUAAAGUUUUAACUUUUAACAUUGAUCUUUAUACUGUAAAAUUCAUAAAUUAUUGCGUGCAUUUAUUAUUGCGAUUCUGUCAUUUUAGACUUAAAUGCGAUUUUAAAUUUUACGAUUUUGAAAAAAUCCUGUUUAAUCCAUAUAAAAUAUUUCAUAAUACGAGUUUAAAUUAUUGCGUUUACAACUCCGUUGCAUUUUUCGCAAUAAAAAAAAACUUGCAUUAAUUCCGAAUUUACAGUAUAUAUAUAUAUAUUAUGUAUAUAACUUGGGAAAAUACCCAAAUUUUAUAAAGAAGAAUAAAUUAAUUGAUUGUUAUAUGGUAUUAGAAUAGGAAGAUGUGGUAUAUUGCUAAUUUGACAACCCUCCAUCAGAGACCAAAGGAUGUAGGCCGUUAGCAACUGAUGACACUGGACAACCUUUAACAAUCAGUAAAAUCCAUACCGCAUAGCUAUUUUUAUUGAAAAUCAUAUUAUUGCUACAUGUAUGAAAACAAUUUUGUAUAAUCCAUUACUUUAGAUUUUAUUGGUUCUUUUUCAGAAGGAUUGAAAUUCACCACCUAAAAUAAAUGGAGAAAACAUAGAAACAAGACCAGAAUAAAUUCAAAGAAAAAAAGUUGGAUCAGUUAUUAUUUUCAUCACUCAGUCAAUGAUUUGAAGUUCUUUUAAAUUCAAAAAAAAUAUUGAAACCACAAUAAUGUCAAAGUUCUGUGCUGAAUGUCCAAAAAGUGGACUAUACCAUCAAACAAUGCUGGAUGAUAAGAAACUAUUAAUGUUUUGUGUGUUGAGGGAUAUUGUGAAAAAAAUAGAUUUACUUAAAUAGCUACUAGUAUGUUAAGCCUAACAAUAGAGUUUUUAUUGAUUUCAAAUGGCAAAUAAUUGUGUUUCAAGAAAGUAUUCUAUAAUUCAUGAAUAAACAUAUAUUGAUACUUACAUUAUCUGCUUUGUUGUUUAAAAGUUUAGUUUUGAACAGUUAAAGAACAAUAUGCUAAAUUAACAUUUCCCAAGAAAAAAAGAUAUUCAAUUAAAAAGAUUCAUCUUAUAAUAAUUUACUACCAAAUAGAAUACAUUGUAACAUACACAUUACUGUUUAUUUAUAUCUAUAUAUUUACAAUUAGAAUCCCAUAGGAUUUUAAUUUGUCCCAUGGGAUAUUAAAAAUCCCAUGGGAUAUAAAAAAUCCCAUGGGAUUUUUUUUGUCCCAUGGGACAACAAAUAUCCCAUGGGACUACAAUAAUCCCAUGGGACAAAAAAAAAUCCCAUGGGAUUUAACCAAAAUCCCAUGGGAUAAUGGUAAAUCCCAUGGGAUUUUGCCCUGUCCCAUGGGAUAUUGAAAAUCCCAUGUUUUUAUAAUUCAAAUUGCAAAAUAAAUAUGAAAGUAACUGUAGAAAACCAAUGAAAUUAUUGAAUCCCAUGUAAUUCUGCACAUUUUGGUUAUAUACAUGAUAUUGUAGCUCUUGUUUGAGGCGGCGGCGGAUUUGCAAAUGAGUGUUUUGCAAAUUAAAGUGUCGUGUUUAAAAAUGUGGACCAGUAAUUAAUUCUUUGCACGAGUUUGAAAAGGGAAAUACAUACUUUAAAAGAAUUUAUAUUAAUUAAGUUUUGUAUAUGAAAUCCGUUCUUAACGGUAAAAGCCGUACUUUUCAAACAAUCAAACUCAUAUACAUGUAGUUAGAUGUUAUUUCUUAUUUUUAUCGAACUUGUCCAGGAAUUUUAUUUUUGAGUUAUACGAAUAUUUUAAGAAAUCCGUUUUAAUUAAGUUUUUUUUCUCUUAUUAAAGUGGUUUUGUCCAGUUUCACAAGCCUGAAACGAAUUUCAAUGCGAAAAUAAAUGAACUUGUCUCCGUUUUCGUCUCCGUUUUUUGAAAAUUAUGAUAUUUUGGGUAUAAUUAUUUCUAAAAAAAUAUGUAAGUUAGAUUGUAGUAGCGAGAAAUUAUAAAAAAAAGAAGAUGUGGUAUGAUUGCUAAUGAGACAACUAUCCACAAAAGACCAAAAUGACACAAACAUUAACAAAGAAAGACUAUUUCGAAGACAGUUUAUUGACACGAAAUCCGUUCAAACCACGACUAAGUCUUCGUGCACAGAUUACCGUUAAGGUUAAACUGAAUAUUGUACAUAAUUGUCUUCUCUUGUAUAAUGGUUUGUUGAGAAUAAAGAUAUACAAAUGUAAUAAAAUUUGAUAUUCAGUCAACAUUGUGUUUGUUUAAAAACUUGAUUAAGAGAGAGAGAGAGAGAGAGAAAAGAAUCACACUGAAAAACAAAAAUCGAACUUGUUACAGAAAAAAACGCAACUAUAAAAUAAUUUUCUUUAUUCGUGAACUGCAAAACACAACAAAUUAAUUUACCCGUCAUCAUGAAAAAUAAACUGAAAAAGCACAUCGAAUGAGAUAUAUAUUUUAUUUUUUCUAUAUGCAAAUUCAUGUUAAAGGUAAAACUGAACUAAACAAUACAAUUCCUUAAAGAUAAUCCAAUCAAUUUUGUUGAUUGGAUAAUUCAUGGCUCAGUAGUUGUGUAAUCAGUGACACGUGCCCUCAUUAUUUUAUAAGAAUUAACAUAUCUAUCUAAGUUCGAUUCAGGCGCGGAUCCAGAGGGGGGAGGGGGGUUCCGGGGGGUUUGGAACCCCCUUUUUUUGGCCGAUCAAUGCAUUUGAAUUGGGACAUGUAGUUGAACCCCCCCCCUUUUUGUGUCCUGGGUUAGGACCCCCCUUUUUUAAAAUGGCUGGAUCCGCCCCUGCGAUUUCAACUUCUACCAAAAUUUAACUCUAAAAUAAGAAGCGUAUAACGAAUAUAAACAUCCAUCAUGUGUGCAGAUAUGAUUACGGUAAUGGGUCCUGGGUGCACUUUGUAUGUCCUGAGCCGUUGUUUAGACGUACCCGAAGAAAAAAUCAUUUCCUGAACCUAAAAUACAUUUAUCUGUAAUUAAAGAAAAUUCGCCUAAAACAUUCUCUCAUAUAUUUAAACAAUUAAUUGUAAAAUAAUUAAUUCAACGUCGAACUUUCUGUCUGUUUACUAAUACUUUUCUUGUUCAGUUUAGUUUAUAUACCCAUAAUAGAUGAACGGAAAUAAGUACUUUUUUAGGAAAAUUUACAACUAGAUGAACGGAAUUAAGUACUUUUUAGGAAAAUUUACAACUCAAAUUUUCAAAAACAAAAUUCUACACUUUUUACUUGGAUGUUUUUCUCUGUCUCGAAGCCGCAACCGUUGGCCCCGUAUCAAACGUAGCGACCAACACCUCACAUGACGUAUUCUCGAUGUUGAGGUAUUGACAAUAUACAAUCACAUUUAUCAAUAUACAGCAGCCAAGUAAGUAAUUUGGUGUUGAAUGCCAGUAGAUCAGAAUUUGUUAAUUGAACUUUACCUGUUUAAGGGGCACUAGCUGCCAAAUUCAUGUUCUUCAUCGAUUUUAAUAAAAUUCACAUAACGUGUAUAUAGUGUUGAAUUGUUUAUUAAAAUGUUGCGCACAAUCUUGGCUGAUAUGCAUAAAACCAUUAUAUUUCAUGACACUGCAUGAAAAAGAAAUUGACUUAUCGCAUAUUACCAGAACCAGAGACAUAUAUAUAUUGUAUCUAAUAUCUCUGCCAGAACUAAAAAAUAAACUACAGUAAGUCCACAUACACAUAAGAGGAUGUGAAUUAACAGAAUAGAGAACAAAGGACAAAGAAAAAAAGGAUUAAAGAAUAGUGAAAGAAAGAGAAUAAUGGAAAAAAAAGUGUAAGUUAUUAAAAAUAUAACUAAAAAAAGAAGACAGAAAAAAAGACACCCCUCCGAGACGAGCCUUACAUGCACUGUCACGGGUAGUAAGGUCGUCAUUCCGAGGAGCGUUUAGUACAGUGAUUUUGUCAUAGUUUGGAUAAGUUUGACAUGACGGUGUUAAUUCUUUUUGAUGACAAUCAAUGCAAUAAUGUAAACAUUGGGAUAUUUUGUAAACGGAACCUCUAAUCAUUAAUUCAAGUUGUAUAAAGUAAAUAUGCUAGUACAUAACAAGUGGUAUCAUAUAGUUAAUGACUUAACACAGAACAAAGCUUGCGUAUGUCAAAAUUUAAAACUUGCUAAUUGGCCUAUCGUGCAUAAAAAAAGUUAUUUUCUUACAGUCUGUUACAUUACAUAUAUCUUCGUGAUAUAACACUGCCGUCAAUUAUUCGGAAAAACACCUACUUUUGCAAUCAAUUCAAAAUUACUGAAAUAUCUGUGUCAUGGUUUGGUUCAUUUGUGUCAUGGUUAAGUUCAUGUUCGACAUGGUUCAGUUAUGUAAUUCUUGCCGUGUAUAAUGAAGAGUUACUACCAAAAUUAAGAAAAAUCGUUCCAUUUGAAACACAAAAGGACAAAAGAACGCACAUACAAUGUAGUAAUAUGUUUUCUUCGCGAUAUACGCUAUACAUGUAUAUGUAGUUUCAUUGAAUAGCAUUAUAUUAAACAAUAUUGAGAGGAUCCUAUUUUUUUAUAUAUGUUUCUUAAUUUUUAAAUCUUUUAUUGCCGCAGUCAUAUUAUAAACUUGAAUCCUAACAAUACUACGUUUAUUUAUUUCAGCAGCCAUGCAAUGUUUGACUAACCCCGAAAAUCUACUGCUAAACGUAAAAGUGCAAUCGUGAACCCAUAUGAUGGAUUUGCACAUGGUGCUCAAGGAAUUCGUCAGUACCAUAAACGCGCAUGUUAUGAUAUCUAAAUAAGUCAUUAUUUUGAAAAUGAGACAAUUUAUCAUUUAAACUUUAUGAAUGCUAGAAAUGAAUCAGUAUCACCAACAGCUUCAAAUGACUCGUCUAACAUUUUGCCUAAAGGAGCAAUAGAUGCAAUUGCCUCUGAAAAUUGUAUGAGUCCAAUUCAAUGCAUUUGUGUGAAAUUUGGAGCCUUAUCGUGUAAAUAAAUAACAAACAAAAAAACAAUUAUGAAUUUGACUGCGUUAUUUUUUGCUAAACAUAUUUAGUUACAUAAAUUGAAAAGAAGUUAUAAACUACGAAAUCAUAUAUUGAGAAUAGUUUGAUGGUUUCAGAUCUCUGGUUGCCUCUGUCUAAUUUAUUAACCCAUUUUAUAGAAACAGGCAGAUACAGAGUUUUGCCUAUUUAAUUUAUCCUAUUGUUGAAGAAUUCAUGUUUGUGUUGUUGGUUUGCUGUUUCAUUUAUGUAUUUCCUGCGUCAUCUUACAUUUGAUAUUACCUAGUAAAUUGAAAAUCAAAUAAGCAAAAAUGAUAAACGGCAAAUAUAGAUAGCAUACAAAUAUCAUUGAAUAUUCUAAGAAGUUCAAAUGAAGUGUACUUGGGAUAUAUAUCAACAAACUUACCAUCUGUUUCAUCUUCGUCCAUCUUAUUAUGCGUUCUGUCCUAUUACAAACGAUGAUUUCUUGUCUAGCCAGGUCAAAAUUAACAGUUUAAAUGUACAUGUAGCAGACAAUAUAACACGUGUUUCUUUGAUUUUCAAUCCUUUUUUGUUUCAAUCGCAUGUAAUAAUAUACCACCUCAUACUUAAAACUAGAUCGCAGGAGUUUUUUUCAGAUAGUAUAGAAACUAUAUUACAUAAAAAGUAAAAAAAUAUUUGAAAUAAUUUAAUGAUACUAUACACGAUAUAAAAAAAAAAGAUGUGGUAUGAUUGCCAAUGAGACAACUAACCACAAAAGACCAAAAUGACACAAACAUUAACAACUAUAGGUAACCGUACGACCAUUAACAAUGGGCAAAGCCCAUACCACAUAGUCAGCUAUAAAAGGCCUCGAUAAAACAAUGUAAAACAAUUAAAAUUAGAAAACUUGAUGCAUUUAUACAAUAUUACAAAGAUUAUUAUUGAUUCGUAAUAAUAAUUGAUAAACUUGAACAUUAUAUCGGCUUAAAUCCAAAAUUGGAGUUAUGAUCUUUCAUAUUUUAAAUUCGCACUUUAUAACUACUUUUUAUUGUAAUUUCACCUAUUAUAGUUUUAAAACCAAUAAGUUUUAAAACUGUUGUCCAUGUCACGCGUAACUAUUCGGUUUCGUAAAUGGUUGAAGACUUAUGAUGUCCUCUUAAUAUCUUGUGGUUAGUUUUGUAGUUGGGUUACUGUAUCAUGGACCUCUAACCCAACAUCUCCUUUUAUUCAUCAUAAACCGAUUCAAAAGUUAAAAUAAAAAAUCCAACAAAUGUAUAGUUUUCUAGAAAAAAAAACAAAAAAAAAAAAGAAUUACUUUUGGACUGGCUGCCACUUUUGAGUAGAAGUCUUUAGCUAUUUGACUAGUGAUGCCGCUCAUGAUUUUCCCGGCAGGGAUAUGGAUGAAAGAUUAUAUGUGAAACAGAAGCAACGCUUUGUCUUUUAUUUUUGUAAAAUUAUAAAGAGCAGUGAUUGUUAAAUUAUAUUGUAGAAAACAUGUUUACUUUACGCUUUGUCGAUCACACCCACUAAAUUUGGUUAAACAAGUUUUUUCUUCUUCUCAGGAAGUUAAUAUAUAGUGUAACUUCGUUCAAUAACAGGCGCUAUCAAUCAAAUUUUCAGUAUUAAAGUGAAACACAUAUAUAUUUAUUUCGAUCUAAACCAUGACAAUCUUGACCAAAACCAUGACGAAUUUCUAGACUCUUAACCGAACCAUGUCAUUCGCUUAACCAAACCAUGGCAAUUCCGAUAUCUUGCUUAUUCUGCGUUAAUUUCGUGAAAUAACAAUUCCAAUAUAGAUAGUUUGACUUCCAAUACAGAUUCAAGCAUCUUAUUUGCUUUUCAUCUGCUCGUGUGAAUAGAACUGAGGCAAUAGUUUGGGGAAACAACAUAAAUUAACCAUGUCAAACUUAUCCAAACUAUGACAAAAUCACUGUACUAAACGCUCCUCGAUAUGACGACCUUACUACCCGUGACUGUUAUUACCCAAGGUUAAUUUUACGGCGGCUCAUUUUAUUUUGGCUUAGAAAUAAACAUAAUUGACAAGUGUCCUUCCCCUGCAUUCUCGAUCCCACAUGUAAAUAGCACGGUGAUUUCAAAAAGACAUUGAUACAUCAUUACAACACUUGCCGUCAGUAUUUGAAUAUAUUGAUUAAGAAGGUAUAGAAGAUUAAUGCACGCACACUAUUAUCCACCACUGGCCUAAAUAGUUAGUCCGCAAACAACGAGGGUCAUAAAAACCCAGCACUUUGAACACAGCCACCGGCAUGAUGUGAAUCUGAAAGCUUCCCACUAUCCAUUCGUACCCAUAGAAAACUUUUGCAUUUCAUUUAUCAAAAAUGAAAUAUGUUGAUAUAGAUGGUAUAUAAGAAUUAUUGGGGAAUUCAAACCAUUCCUAUUGUAAGUGAUAAAACUAAAUUUAUAUCAGGGUGAUUGAAAUGAGGAAAAAAAAGGGGGGAUCAGGAGUUCAGGGCCCCCUGUUUGGGAAAAGAAUUGGUUGAUUAUAUAUGGAAUCACUGAGUCAUGACAGGAGCAGGCCCCUCUUAGGCAGUCGGUGGGCCCCACUUAUGAAAAAUUCUGGAUCCACCACUGUGGUCAUGGUGGUCUUCAGUUGUAUUAUCUUUUAAAAAAAAAAUUACACCUGUAUAGUGUGUAUAUUCUUUAGUGUAAAUCAAGGGAAAAUACUGUGAACUAUCUGUGCAUUGGGGCUUAUUAAAAGGUAUUUCGGGGGGAAGAAAGAAGGGAGGGUGAGUCCAUGGGAGGUAAUCCCCACCCCUUUCAAUUUGAGAAUAUGCUAUUAUCUUGUAAACGGUCCAGAUCCCCAUCCCUAAACCAUAUAUAUUCUUGAAUGGGACGAUAAAACAAAUCAAAUGAAAUUAAAAGGAGGUCUUUGGGGGUUACCCCACUCUGUUCAAUUUGAGAAUGUGCUAUUAUCUUGUGAACGAUCCAGAUCCCCACCCCUAAACCAUAUAUAUUCUUGUCGGGGACAAUAAAAUUAAUAAUGAAAUAAAAUAAAAGUGAAGUCCCACCCCCUCUAGUUUGAAAACUUGUAAACGGUCAAGAUCCCCACCCCUAAACCAUAUUUAUAUAUUCUUGUAUAGAACAAUAAAACAAAUCAAAGGAAAUAUAGGGAGAGUCCAUGGGGUUCACCCCCACCCCCACAUGUUUGAGAAACUUUUAAAUGGUUGAGAUCCCCUGUCAUCCAGUGGUUAGGUGAAAAAAUUUCAGGAUCCCUGAUCCCCACCGUCAAACCAUAUAUAUUUCUUGUAUGAGACAAUAAAACAAAUCAAAUGAAUAUAGGAUCCAUCCCCUUUGUCUUGGGUUGGGAACCCCCCUUUUUAAAAAUGGCUGGAUCCGCCCCGGCAUACCAUCUAGCUAGCUAUAAAGGCUUUAAAAAUAUGAAAUCAAACAAGGAAAUUAACAGUGUAGGCAACUGUUUUGAAUUUAAAAAAAAAGUCUUUUACAUAUAUAUAACAAUGUUAAAUUUUUUGUGCAUUUAUUUUUGCUUAUCGUAUUUUCAAUAAUGGACAAAAUUGCAUGAUUGAAUAUUGUAAUUUGAAAAAAAAUCAGCAUACAUGAUAUAAAAUGGGAAGUGGAAACUGGGAAUUUGACAAAGAGACAACAACCCAAUCAAAGAGCAGACAAUAGCCGAAGGUCACCUAUGGGUCUUUAAUGCAGUGAGAAAAAUUUGGCACUGGUCUUCAAUGCAGUGAGGAAAAUUUGGCACUGAUCUUCAGCUCAUAAAUAUGUAUCAGUAAUGAAAACGAGAUACAGCUUUCAGUUGUAUUAAUAAAAACCUCACAAUAAGUUCUGAAUAUCAGAAUAUACAGUAUUGCAAGAUUCUCUCAAAAUGUACACAUAGAGCUGAAAAACUGUCAGUGACUGUAAAAUUAAUCAUGCUUACAUUAAAGUCCAUGGAGUCCAUCUUAAUAUGCAUACUCUCGUACAAAGGAAUAUAAGUAUGCAAUAGACAUCAAGUUUUCAAAAAUAAGAGUAUCUAUGCCAUUAAUUUACGACAAGAUCUUAAUCAAGUAAUAAUUUCGGUUUGUUUAAAUAUUUCGGAGGUUAGUAUGACCUCCUCUUUGGUGAUGAUGUUUUCGUUUUAAAGUUGGGAAAAUUGUUUGUACAUGUACCAACAAAAAUAAAAACACAAAGUCAAUCUAGAAUUAUGUUUUUAUCAUUUUUUUAUGUUUAGGUUGUCAGCAAGAUGAAAAGGACAAGUAUGCAGUUCAAAAUUCAAAAUGUGGAUAAGUUGAGGUUCUAGGUCUUACCUUUGCAGAUUUUCAUAUUUUGCAUGAAUGAAUUCAAAGGUUAUAUGAUGGACAGCAGAGAAAGAAAAAAAAAAAACUCUUCAAUUAUCCUGCUCCUGGAUAAAUGUAAAACAUCUUGUUUUUCGGUAAGUUUUAUGCUCUGUUUUUUGAUAGUGUUAGUGCAUUCAUCUUUCCAGUCUUUCCUCUAAAUUGUAAGUUUUUGGUGAGUGUUCACCAUGAAUUUCAGUAAGUAACUUGUGGAUUUACAUGUAUAUACUCAAAAUUUAGUACUAAUAUUAAUGGGAUUUUAGCAUGACAUCCUGCCAAAUGCUUGUUAAUCAUGUUUAUGUUCCAGAACAAACAAGUAUUUGGACUGUACGCAUACAGUCUGCCCAAUUUUAAGAAGUUGGUCAAGUUUAUUACAAACAAAUGUACAGUACAGAUCAACAUAACUGAAAUCUUUAAUAGAUUAAUACAAAAAGUUUAAUUGCAGUUAAAAUAAAAACACAGGUUUGGUCGAGCUGGUACCAGACAGUACAAGUAUACUUAAAUGGUCUGACUGUACACAUAUGGUGGGACUGAUAGUUCUGGACCGUAAAAGUAAGAUCCGAAUACUGAUAUGGUCUGGAACAUUUAUACAUGUCUUAAAAUUAAUAUCAAACACAUUGGUGUUUUUGAACUUGGUAAUAAGUUAUUUGACUAUAAUGUUUUGGGAUAUCAAAAUCAAAAAUAUCCCAUUUUUACUUUUAAUAAAGAAGAAGAUUAUUGAUGUAUGUUUAAAUGUAUAUUAAAAUGAGACAGCAAGCCAACAACACAAAAAAUAAGGAUAAAACAUACAUAUUUUUUUGUAUCAAUGUUAUAAUUUCCAAUAUGUUCAAGGUAUUUUUUCAUUGAAAUAAAACACAAAUUGAAAUCUGUCUGAACUUCAAAAGCUUAAAGAAAUAUUGUUUCUGUUGUCUGCAUUUUGUAUAAUAUAUUGCAAAUUCUUGUGAAUAAUGGAAUGUUAUUAUAGUAAAAGUUUUAACAUUGAUCUUUAUACUGUAAAUUCAUAAAUUAUUGCGUGCAUUUAUUAUUGCAUUCUGUCAUUUUAAUUUUUUUCGAUUUUGAAAAAAUAAUGCGAGUUUAAAUUAUUGCGUUUACAACUCCGUUGCAUUUUUCGCAAUAAAAAAAAACUCGCAUUAAUUCCGAAUUUACAGUAUAUAUAUAUAUUAUGUAUAUAACUUGGGAAAAUACCCAAAUGUUUAUAAAGAAGAAUAAAUUAAUUGAUUGUUAUAUGGUAUUAGAAUAGGAAGAUGUGGUAUAUUGCUAAUUUGACAACCCUCCAUCAGAGACCAAAGGAUGUAGGCCGUUAGCAACUGAUGACACUGGACAACCUUUAACAAUCAGUAAAAUCCAUACCGCAUAGCUAUUUUUAUUGAAAAUCAUAUUAUUGCUACAUGUAUGAAAACAAUUUUGUAUAAUCCAUUACUUUAGAUUUUAUUGGUUCUUUUUCAGAAGGAUUGAAAUUCACCACCUAGAAUAAAUGGAGAAAACAUAGAAACAAGACCAGAAUAAAUUCAAAGACAAAAGUUGGAUCAGUUAUUAUUUUCAUCACUCAGUCAAUGAUUUGAAGUUCUUUUAAAUUCAAAAAAAUAUUGAAACCACAAUAAUGUCAAAGUUCUGUGCUGAAUGUCCAAAAAGUGGACUAUACCAUCAAACAAUGCUGGAUGAUAAGAAACUAUUAAUGUUUUGUGUUGAGGGA
RNAcentral lists this long non-coding RNA (11863 nucleotides) under Mytilus galloprovincialis (Mediterranean mussel). The record is from RNAcentral. Lineage: Eukaryota; Metazoa; Mollusca; Bivalvia; Mytilida; Mytilidae.